This 868-nucleotide ribosomal RNA is filed under the name uncultured rumen bacterium. RNAcentral describes it as "bacterial SSU rRNA". It matches the Rfam family "Bacterial small subunit ribosomal RNA", at positions 9 to 873 of the family's 1533-position model. The record is from RNAcentral.
AGAGUUUGAUCCUGGCUCAGGAUGAACGCUAGCGGCAGGCUUAACACAUGCAAGUCGAGGGGCAGCGCGGGUAGCAAUACCUGGCGGCGACCGGCGAAAGGGUGAGUAACGCGUGAGCAACGUGCCCGUAUGUGGGGGAUAGUCGAUGGAAACGUCGCGUAAUACCCCGUAACAUGAGGAACCGCAUGAUUUCUCAUUGAAAGAUUUAUUGCAUACGGAUCGGCUCGCGUGCCAUUAGGUAGACGGCGGGGUAACGGCCCACCGUGCCGACGAUGGCUAGGGGUUCUGAGAGGAAGGUCCCCCACAUCGGAACUGAGACACGGUCCAGACUCCUACGGGAGGCAGCAGUGAGGAAUAUUGGACAAUGGCCGGAAGGCUGAUCCAGCCAUGCCGCGUGCGGGAGGACGGCCCUAUGGGUUGUAAACCGCUUUUGCGAGGGAGCAAUAAGGGUAACGUGUUGCCCGAUGAGAGUACCUCGCGAAUAAGCAUCGGCUAACUCCGUGCCAGCAGCCGCGGUAAUACGGAGGAUGCAAGCGUUAUCCGGAUUUAUUGGGUUUAAAGGGUGCGUAGGCGGUUUGCUAAGCGGGAGGUGAAAUGCCGGCGCUCAACGUCGGAAGUGCCUCCCGAACUGGUGGACUGGAAUGACUCUGCCGUGGGAGGAAUGUGUAGUGUAGCGGUGAAAUGCUUAGAGAUUACACAGAACACCGAUUGCGAAGGCAUCUCACGAAGGGUUGAUUGACGCUGAGGCACGAAAGCGUGGGGAUCAAACAGGAUUAGAUACCCUGGUAGUCCACGCAGUAAACGAUGAUGGCUAACCGCUGGAUCCAUCGGUUCAGUGGCCAAGCGAAAGCGAUAAGCCAUCCACCUG